Molecule: ribosomal RNA, 443 nt
Filed under: uncultured bacterium
Lineage: Bacteria
Description: bacterial SSU rRNA
Rfam family: Bacterial small subunit ribosomal RNA
Source: RNAcentral
AACGAACGCUGGCGGCAUGCCUAACACAUGCAAGUCGAACGAGACCUUCGGGUCUAGUGGCGCACGGGUGCGUAACGCGUGGGAAUCUGCCCUUGGGUUCGGAAUAACAGUUAGUAAUGACUGCUAAUACCGGAUAAUGUCUUCGGACCAAAGAUUUAUCGCCCAGGGAUGAGCCCGCGUAGGAUUAGCUAGUUGGUGAGGUAAAGGCUCACCAAGGCGACGAUCCUUAGCUGGUCUGAGAGGAUGAUCAGCCACACUGGGACUGAGACACGGCCCAGACUCCUACGGGAGGCAGCAGUGGGGAAUAUUGGACAAUGGCGAAAGCCUGAUCCAGCAAUGCCGCGUGAGUGAUGAAGGCCUUAGGGUUGUAAAGCUCUUUUACCCGGGAUGAUAAUGACAGUACCGGGAGAAUAAGCCCCCGGCUAACUCCGUGCCAGCAGCCG